AUUGAACGCUGGCGGAAUGCUUUACACAUGCAAGUCGAACGGCAGCACGGACUUCGGUCUGGUGGCGAGUGGCGAACGGGUGAGUAAUGUAUCGGAACGUGCCCAGUCGUGGGGGAUAACGUAGUGAAAAUUACGCUAAUACCGCAUACGAUCUAUGGAUGAAAGCGGGGGAUCGCAAGACCUCGCGCGAUUGGAGCGGCCGAUAUAAGAUUAGGUAGUUGGUGGGGUAAAGGCCCACCAAGCCAACGAUCUGUAGCUGGUCUGAGAGGACGACCAGUCACACUGGAACUGAGACACGGUCCAGACUCCUCCGGGAGGCAGCAGUGGGGAAUUUUGUACAAUGGGCGAAAGCCUGAUCCAGCCAUUCCGCGUGCAGGAUGAAGGCCCUCGGGUUGUAAACUGCUUUUGUACAGAACGAAAAGGUUUCUACUAAUACUAGGAGCUCAUGACGGUACUGUAAGAAUAAGCACCGGCUAACUACGUGCCAGCCGCCGCAGUAA
This 500-nucleotide ribosomal RNA is filed under the name uncultured bacterium. RNAcentral describes it as "partial 16S ribosomal RNA". It matches the Rfam family "Bacterial small subunit ribosomal RNA", at positions 30 to 523 of the family's 1533-position model. The record is from RNAcentral.